CAGCAGCCGCGGGAAUACGUAGGGUGCAAGCGUUAAUCGGAAUUACUGGGCGUAAAGCGUGCGCAGGCGGUUAUAUAAGACAGAUGUGAAAUCCGGGCUCAACCUGGGAACUGCAUUUGUGACUGUAUAGCUAGAGUACGGCAGAGGGGGAUGGAAUUCCGCGUGUAGCAGUGAAAUGCGUAGAUAUGCGGAGGAACACCGAUGGCGAAGGCAAUCCCCUGGGCCUGUACUGACGCUCAUGCACGAAAGCGUGGGGAGCAAACAGGAUUAGAGACCCCCGUAGUCCCUGUCUCUUAUACAC
This 301-nucleotide ribosomal RNA is filed under the name uncultured bacterium. Its description in RNAcentral is "partial 16S ribosomal RNA". It matches the Rfam family "Bacterial small subunit ribosomal RNA", at positions 509 to 809 of the family's 1533-position model. The record is from RNAcentral.